GAUCGUCAGGAGGUUAAUCCUUACCUGUCCCUCCUUUCGGAGGGCAGUAGAAAAUGAUGAUUGGAGCUUGCAUGAUCUGCUGAUUAGCAUUUCCAUGCAAUCAGGACCUGACAACAUCCUGGUUGCUCCUAUCUGAUU
This 138-nucleotide small nucleolar RNA is filed under the name Mus musculus (house mouse). Its description in RNAcentral is "5.4S small nuclear RNA". It matches the Rfam family "U8 small nucleolar RNA". From Rfam's summary of the family: U8 is a member of the C/D class of snoRNA which contain the C (UGAUGA) and D (CUGA) box motifs. U8 is the RNA component of a small complex (the U8 snoRNP) which is required for accumulation of mature large subunit ribosomal RNAs, 5.8S and 28S rRNAs. The record is from RNAcentral. Lineage: Eukaryota; Metazoa; Chordata; Mammalia; Rodentia; Muridae.